GGCUGGUCCGAUGGUAGUAGGUUAUCAGAACUUAUUAACAUUAGUGUCACUAAAGUUGGCAUAUAACCCCCACUGCCAAAUUUGACUGGCUUUAA
Aotus nancymaae (Ma's night monkey) is the source of this 95-nucleotide unclassified non-coding RNA. It matches the Rfam family "Y RNA". Rfam says of the family: Y RNAs are components of the Ro ribonucleoprotein particle (Ro RNP), in association with Ro60 and La proteins. The Y RNAs and Ro60 and La proteins are well conserved, but the function of the Ro RNP is not known. In humans the RNA component can be one of four small RNAs -- hY1, hY3, hY4 and hY5. Lineage: Eukaryota; Metazoa; Chordata; Mammalia; Primates; Aotidae. The record is from Ensembl.